RNAcentral lists this ribosomal RNA (465 nucleotides) under uncultured bacterium. RNAcentral describes it as "partial 16S ribosomal RNA". It matches the Rfam family "Bacterial small subunit ribosomal RNA", at positions 339 to 795 of the family's 1533-position model. The record is from RNAcentral.
CUACGGGUCGCUCCAGUGGGGAAUAUUGGACAAUGGGGGAAACCCUGAUCCAGCAAUGCCGCGUGUGUGAAGAAGGCCUGCGGGUUGUAAAGCACUUUCGGUUGGGAGGACUGCUUCUAGCACUAAUAUUGUUGGAAGUUGACGUUACCUUCAGAAGAAGCACCGGCUAACUUCGUGCCAGCAGCCGCGGUAAUACGAAGGGUGCAAGCGUUGUUCGGAUUUAUUGGGCGUAAAGCGCGCGCAGGCGGAUUGGUAAGUCAGAUGUGAAAUCUCGGGGCUCAACCCCGAAACUGCGUCUGAAACUACUAGUCUAGAAUCUUGUAGAGGAGAGCGGAAUUUCGCAUGUAGGGGUAAAAUCCGUAGAGAUGCGAAGGAACACCAGAGCCGAAGGGGGCUCUCUGGGCAAGUAUUGACGCUGAGGCGCGAAAGCAUGGGUAGCGAACAGGAUUAGAUACCCUAGUAGUC